This 480-nucleotide ribosomal RNA is filed under the name Blastocystis sp. RNAcentral's name for it is "SSU rRNA". It matches the Rfam family "Eukaryotic small subunit ribosomal RNA", at positions 460 to 953 of the family's 1831-position model. Lineage: Eukaryota; Bigyra; Opalinata; Blastocystidae. The record is from RNAcentral.
GGAGGUAGUGACAAUAAAUCACAAUGCGGAACUUUUAGUUUUGCAAUUGGAUUGAGAACAAUGUACAAAUGUUAUCGAUAAACAAUUGGAGGGCAAGUCUGGUGCCAGCAGCCGCGGUAAUUCCAGCUCCAAUAGCGUAUAUUAACGUUGUUGCAGUUAAAAAGCUCGUAGUUGAAAUGUGGGAUGAAGUAUAUAAUGAAUUUCUAAUUCAAUUAUAUAUUGAUUCCCCUCUCCAAUUUAUUAUUAUGGGUAUUAAUUUAUUUGUAAUAAGAAUUGGUCAUUUACUGUGAGAAAAUUAGAGUGUUCAAAGCAGGCAUUUGCUUGAAUAGAUUAGCAUGGAAUAAUACUAAAAGGCUUUUAUGGUCGAUUUAAUUGGUUUGUUCAUAAAAGCAAGAUUAAAAGGAACAGUUGGGGGUAUUCAUAUUCAAUAGUUAGAGGUGAAAUUCUCGGAUUUAUGGAAGAUGAACAAGUGCGAAAGCA